AUGGCCUCCAGUUCCUAUCGUGUAACAGUUUUGGCAGACUGAAAAAGGUGCGCUUGAAGAUACAAACCAUCACAAAUUCACGGAGACUGAUUUUAAGUUUACAAGUAUGAAACGACAAACAAUUCCUGGCUGGAGAAGAUGAAGUACUUAAAGACACAAACGCCACCUUCAUUAAAACCAGAGUUCUGCAACAGAGCUACCGAGAAAAAGUACACCCAAGAGUCAAGUGAAGUCACAACUGACUUUAACAGCAACGAGGCUUGUCAAAAAUCCGUGCUUGCAGAUUUCCUGACCGACCAGAGCAGUCUUAC
Molecule: long non-coding RNA, 311 nt
Organism: Ailuropoda melanoleuca (giant panda)
Lineage: Eukaryota; Metazoa; Chordata; Mammalia; Carnivora; Ursidae
Exons: 4
Source: RefSeq, a predicted model, not a curated record